CUACGGGCGGCAGCAGUAGGGAAUAUUGCACAAUGGACGAAAGUCUGAUGCAGCAACGCCGCGUGUGCGAUGAAGGCCUUCGGGUUGUAAAGCACUUUUCUGAGGGAAGAGGAAGGACGGUACCUCAGGAAUAAGUCUCGGCUAACUACGGUGCCAGCAGCCGCGGUAACACGUAGGAGGCAAGCGUUAUCCGGAUUUACUGGGCGUAAAGCGCGUGCAGGCGGUUCGGUAAGUUGGAUGUGAAAGCUCCUGGCUCAACUGGGAGAUGCCGUUCAAUACUGCCGGACUCGAGGACGGUAGAGGGAGGUGGAAUUCCCGGUGUAGUGGUGAAAUGCGUAGAUAUCGGGAGGAACACCAGUGGCGAAAGCGGCCUCCUAGGCCGUUCCUGACGCUAAGACGCGAAAGCAUGGGUAGCGAAUGGGAUUAGAUACCCGGGUAGUC
RNAcentral lists this ribosomal RNA (441 nucleotides) under uncultured bacterium. RNAcentral describes it as "partial 16S ribosomal RNA". It matches the Rfam family "Bacterial small subunit ribosomal RNA", at positions 339 to 795 of the family's 1533-position model. The record is from RNAcentral.